RNAcentral lists this unclassified non-coding RNA (1194 nucleotides) under Hevea brasiliensis (rubber tree). The record is from RNAcentral. Lineage: Eukaryota; Viridiplantae; Streptophyta; Magnoliopsida; Malpighiales; Euphorbiaceae.
GAAAGAUAUGAGCAUUUCUUUUAAUUUUUAGAUUUAGAAAACUGUUUUCUGUCAUUGACAGUUGAAUGCAUUUUGCAUGUUUUCGCUUAUUUUUUUUUAUGGAAAAUGAAAGCUGGAGUUUUGUUAGAAAAUGGAAAAUAGAAAACUAUUUUCCACAAGUAAACAGGCCCUCAAUUUUUCACUGGCUGUUUAUUGGAGCUUUCUGGUUCUCCUCUAGAGUUCCUUGAUGUCUGUUUUUCAGGGACUAGCUUCUCCAUGUGUCUUUCAUUUUUGGUGGUCUUUCAUACUUGUUUUAUGCUUGAUUUAUGUCCAUUUAGUGCAUUUGUUAUUUGUCAAAAAAUAGAAAUGAAUUCUUGUGCAUGUAAAUGGCCUGAAAGAGAGAAAAUUUUUUGUCACAAAGCAUAUUAAAAAUUGAGAUCAGGUAGUUCUUAGUGGCUGUGACAAAGAAUAUAAUAAAUAAAAGGGGGCAGGCAGGUUUAAAAAGAUAAAAGGUUUGUUUUGCUUUUUGGAAUGCUUUUGACUGAAAAGAUUCCCUCAAUGACAACAAACACACAUCUUCCAUCUUUUCAGUAAUUUCCCUUUCAAGUGAAUGUUUAUUAAUGGAAAUUUAAAUUGUAGUGGAGGAAUUUUAUGUGUGAAGGAGUAAAUGUUGAAAAGUUUAUCAUAGCAUUUGAAGAAUCACAAGGUUAUAAGUAAAUUAGCUUUGUUCUCUUUUCUAGUGAAUGUGAAAGAUAGUAAGAUACUUUGGAAUAUCUCUUGAAAUUGGUUAUUUGAUUUUGAUGAAGCCAAAUGACCAGAAAAAAAAAAACCCUUUGUUUUUCAGUUUUUACUGAUUCUUUUAGCUUUAUCAAUUUGUACUUGAAAAUUUGACAUUUGUUUCCAAUUUAGCAAUCGACUCAAUUGAAAACAACUGGGUUGGCUAGUUGAUAAAAAUAAUAUAUAUUUUUGUGCAAAUUAUCAAUUUUAGCACUUUUUUCUUUUUAAAAAAAAUACCAGUUUGUGCAUUUGCAUCAAUUUUUGCUAUCCAACGUAAAAAUCAAUAAAGAUGGUUUGGUCAUGCGCACUGUAGAGAAUCAAAUGCUCUUCUAUGUAAAUGUGAUAAAUUAGUGGUGGAAGGAGUGAGGUGGAAGAGGGAAGACCUAAAAUGGUGUGGAGAGAAAUAGUAUUAUUAGCAGUGUUAUUAAGGCGAAAGGC